RNAcentral lists this long non-coding RNA (760 nucleotides) under Nicotiana benthamiana. RNAcentral describes it as "long non-coding RNA (NBEN_LNC035010)". The record is from RNAcentral. Lineage: Eukaryota; Viridiplantae; Streptophyta; Magnoliopsida; Solanales; Solanaceae.
AUUUCUCUUCAUUUGUUGCAAAAAUCAUGCCCGUUCUUCUACUUUCUUUGUCCAUCGUACUCAGAUUUUUGCUAGGCUAUCUUCACACUUUUCUAGGUUUUUUUGACAUUCAAGGACUUUUUUUAGUCCACUUAUAAGUCUCUCAUCAGCCAGACUUUUUUCAGGGUUAUUGGCAGCUAUUUUCAUCUUUCUGAUUUGAUUUUUAAGGGCCUUAUUUUCCUGGGUCAGUUUCUUCUUUUCUCCCUCGUCGACUGCGGUUUGAACAUCAUUUUCAAAUUGAAGCUCCAUGACUUGCCUUUCUCAUUUGCUUAUUUUGUCCUUGUAUUUAUUCUCUUUGGUUAGCCAGUCUCAUUACGGUUAUGUCUCAACUGUGAAUUGUUGGACAUGUGGUCUCUUUGCAGGCCUUUCAAGAAUCUGGAAUUUCUUACCGAACUAGUCAAUGUACUUAGGUCCACUUCACCUCUAGCUCGGUCUCUCACUAUGGUCUUAGGUUCAAGAAACCUACACUCAUUCCAAAUUUGGCGAAUUUUCCCUUCUGGAAAUACGACUUUUGGAUCCAAUUCAAUGGCAUGUUUACUCAAAUCUUCAUCAUUAUGGAUGGUUUGAAAUCUUCCUAACUGACGCAAAACUCUAUAUGGAGCAUAAGGUUGGAUGCUCCGAAUGCUUAUCAAAAGGAUAUAAGAUACUGCAGCCGACAUGUGCACCACUUCGGUGAGAGGAAGACAUCCAAAUGCCCACUCAAUUUCAUCGGCGGUCAAAG